AAAUAAGGAAGGGCUUGGGGGUUCCUUUGUAGGGAAUUGGUAUGACCCAAAAUUGGAUUAUCUUUAGAAAAACAAUGUCCAAACCUUUUGUGUGUUGAAAUAUCUUAAUCCUACAUGGUUGCCAAAUAAGGAGAAAAAGAUAUGGGUAUUUAAAAACUUGAUAUUUUAAAUCCAGAAAGAAAGGACUUUGGGGGUUGGGGGGGCUUUCCCCAAGACCAAAAAAUAUUUGACUUGAGAAUUUGUUUAUUUGCUUUUGGCUUAUUAUGCACUAACAUUGUGGCUAUCAUGAAGAAUAUAAUGAAAAAAUUGAAAUGAAAAUAUCAUGAUGGAAGAAGAAAGAACCAGAUUACUGGACGGGAGGGAAACAGAAGAAGAGGAGAGGAUUGCUACCGAUUACUUCAAGUCUCUAUUUGAAUAGUAAGGGUCCUCGGUUAACGAAGAAGUGCUAGAAGCAGUGGAGAAUCGAAUCUCUUGGGAUUCAAACCAUCUUCUUUGCCAUGAAUUUAAAGUCGAGGAGAUUACAGAGGCCCUCAAGCAGAUGCACCCAACGAAAUCACCAGGACCUCAUGGAAUAUAAGAGAAUUACCAACUUUGCUUCCUAGGGAUAUAGUCAGUCCACUCCCGGUUUUUCUUGGCAAGCUCCACCAUGUCAACUUAUCAAGGUUAAUUUCGAUGCCAGCUUCGAUCAUAUGUCUAAACAAGGUGCAAGUGGUCUCAUCGUUCGAGACAAUGACGGUUUCGUUCUUGCAUGUGGACAGUCUAAAAUGGAGAGAGUUAUGGAUGCUAGUGUGGCAGAGUCAACUACUGUCGUCAAAGCGAUGGAAUUUGCCUUACAACUCGGGUAUCAAAAGGUUAUUUUUGAAGAGGAUGCUUUGAAUGUUAUUAUUGGAUUACAGGGAAGAAACAAGGACCUCUCUUGUAUGGAACUAGUGAUUUCAAAAGGAAGAUCCCUUGCCCUUCUUUUCCAGAUUUGUGUCUUCAAACACACCAAAAGGAAAUGCAAUGAAGCUGCUCACCAUUUAGCUAAAAACUGUUAUUUUCUGUGUGAUGCUUUUUGGAUGGAAGAAUGUUUAUCUUUUCUCUAUGAUACUGUAAUCAAGGACGCUAUUUAUGCU
Molecule: long non-coding RNA, 1115 nt
Organism: Gossypium arboreum
Lineage: Eukaryota; Viridiplantae; Streptophyta; Magnoliopsida; Malvales; Malvaceae
Exons: 2
Source: RefSeq, a predicted model, not a curated record